Molecule: small RNA, 71 nt
Filed under: Arabidopsis thaliana (thale cress)
Lineage: Eukaryota; Viridiplantae; Streptophyta; Magnoliopsida; Brassicales; Brassicaceae
Description: ATSL010070
Source: RNAcentral
AACUCAGCGUACUCAGUUGUCCCGUCUUCAGUCUUAUGAAGUUGCAACACCAAUGGCCUCCUUGUAACGAU